RNAcentral lists this ribosomal RNA (143 nucleotides) under uncultured eukaryote. RNAcentral's name for it is "partial 18S ribosomal RNA". It matches the Rfam family "Eukaryotic small subunit ribosomal RNA", at positions 1299 to 1458 of the family's 1831-position model. The record is from RNAcentral.
UGGUGGAGUGAUUUGUCUGGUUUAUUCCGUUAACGAACGAGACCUCGACCUGCUAAAUAGUACUGGGUAGGCCUUGUGCCUACGCCAGAGACUUCUUAGAGGGACUAUCGGUGGUUAGCCGGUGGAAGUUCGAGGCAAUAACA